This 2889-nucleotide unclassified non-coding RNA is filed under the name Hevea brasiliensis (rubber tree). The record is from RNAcentral. Lineage: Eukaryota; Viridiplantae; Streptophyta; Magnoliopsida; Malpighiales; Euphorbiaceae.
UUGCUGAUGAAUUUACCAAUCUUCCCAUUCUAGUAUGUUCAACUACUUUAGUUGAGGAGAUGGUAUAUCCAUUGAUCCACAACAGCAGGAGAACCAUACCAUGGUCUCAGCUCAUCAUCUGAACCAACUGGUGAGUGGUACACUCCUUCCAAGCUAAUGUUGAGUGCACCCUCAAGAUGGGCUGAUGCCUCUGGCACCACUCCAUCGCCCCAUACAUCUGCCUGUCCACAUACCUACACAAUUCAGAAUUUGAUUAUCAGCUUUACCGAGUCACAAGGCGGCUCCUCGCCUACAAAAACAAAUGGGAAAUCACUCUACAUACAAGAUGUAGUUCUCAGAUUUCAUUCUGUCAGCUUUAGCUAAAGGACUUAUUGAUGAGACACCAAUGCAAUGAUUACCUGCUUAUACCCUUGCCCAAUAAAACGGGCACGGAAGUUAAUUGCUAUAGACGCAGAAGUGCUGGUGUCAUUCAUAAGAACAGCCUCCGCAUUUGGUUGAUCACUGCCCAUGGCAACCACAGAAUUGACUUCAGCAUUUGAGUUCCCAACAAAGCGAGCCCCCUGAAUAUACCUGCAGUUUAUGGUGGCUAUAGAAAUUAUAAGCUUUAUAUUUUCAGGGUGUAAUGAUUUAUUGUGACGCAACUUUUACAGGAACUGACGUUUGAAUUGUUUGACAGAUGUUAACCCUGUUUUAUUAGUUCAUAAUCUUUUGCAAUCAGUAUAAUGUCUGUUACCUGUCAAAUUUUACAUCGACUGGCAUAAGCUAAAAACCUAGCUAAACCAUGCUGCAUACAGUUAUAUUUUUCUUUGUUCUGUGUCACCUAUGCAAGUAAGUUGUUCUAAAUUUCUAUUUCAGUUGUCAUUCCACAUAAUAUUAAUGUGUAACUGGUUAACUGUGAUUCCUUCAACCAAUGUAUUCCCACAAGACAAAAUAACUGGUAAUAUUAGUUGUGACAUAUCCAAUCUCAUGAACCAGCUAUAAAUCUCAAGUACUCCAUUGGAAAAAGGCCAAUCAAACAAACAGAAACGUACUUUAGCAUCUUAUUGUCUCAUAGUACGCAGCAAUGUGCAAUAACCUUUGGACACAAUAAGAUAUCCCCAUAUUAUAUUAUAAACUGGUAUCUUUUCAGCCAAGGUUCCAAAAAGUUUGGAAAGAAUAAUUUUAUAAGAGAAGUAGAGAACCAAUUCAAGAAGAAUUCAUGUGUAGUUAAGUCAAGAUAAAUAAGCAAUUCCAAAAGAUAUAGAACAGGUUUCUGAAUUUGGGUUUACCUCCCAGCAAUACAUACAUAUUUCAAAUGAGGAGUAUAAAUAGCUUUUGCACAAUGUUUUUCAACAUAAUCAAGGAGACCUCUAGUUUGAUCAAUAACCCCUGGAACUCCUUUUGGAGGUGGCCUGAAUAAAAUUAAACAGGUGGACUGGUCAUUAUCUCAUGAUAAAAUUGAAAUUGAGCUCACACAAGUAGUAUUAUUUAAGUUGUUAGCGUAUAUCUCAACAAAGCAGUAAAAAAUUUAACAAGAAAUAGAAGAUGUGUGAUUCAAGAAUUGUUAGAAAGAAUACGAAAUAUGAAAGUGAUGACCUACAAGUGGGGAGUACCGAGGGUCAACAGCAAGGAGACAUCAGACAACCCAAAUUCUUCCAUGUAGACACGUGCAAGCCAUCCUCCUGCCGAGUGACCAAUCAAGGAUAAAGUCCCACCUAAAAUAAGAUGUUUUGAAGCGUUUUAGAUAAAGCUUACAUUUGGCAUAAGGCAGUUUAAAGCAGAUACUUAUGUGUUUGAUAGAGAAUUAAAGCUGACCAUGAAAAAGGAUGGAAGGGUUAGGAGAGAAGUAAGCAAAAGAAAAUGAUCAAAUAUGAUUGUUCACUUGUGCAAAAGUUCAAGAAAGAAACACUAGGUUGCGUAAUGUUUUAUGAAGGUUCUUAAGAUCUUCUAAGUUCAUAAAACUUGGGCAAUUUCCACACACGGCAUGCCUAAUUAUACAGUUUGAUCGAGGCCGUUAUAGUUCAAGACAAGGAAGGUAUUAUUGCGAAUGUUAGCUUUUGAAGCUUUACGUUGUACAUUUGAACAAAAGCAAUAUGUUCACAGGAUAACUUUCUGUUCUCUCACAAGAAGGCCAAAAUAGAAGGAGCCGUAAAAGCAGCCCCAUAAGUUACAGGCAAAGCAAAAAUUGCAAGAAAUUACAUUUAACCUUGUCAACAUCUUAAAAACAAGCAAGCCAGUUGUGACUUCUUAUAGUAUAGAUGAGGUCGGAUUAAUCAACUAAGUAAAAUUAUAGCAAGUCAUAUACUUAAACAUAAGCAUCAAAUGAGAGCUAAAUCAGAAGUAAAACGCAAAGACAGACACCUUCCGCCAGCACCUUUGCCUCACGGACAGCCUCAUCAAUCCUCUUCAAAUACCUUGAAAUAACUUGCUCUCUUAGAUAUCAUAAACAACACAUAACCAAUAAAGGGUUUAGAAAAGCAAUUUACAUUGCCCAAAAAACUGAAGAGUAGCAAUUCAGUUACCAAUCAAGAACAGGCCGAGGCCGGAGAGUGCCACGCCAGUAGUUAGGAUCUACUAAACCGGCAGCAUUCCUAAACCAAUCAAAUCUUGACACUUUAGCAACAACUGAGGGUACCCCAUACUCAUUCAGUGUUACCUUCAACUUCUGAUAGUCCCCUGUGUUGUUCCCUAAACCCGGAAGAAUGACAGCAGGGCGGACGGUGGUCGAAAUGGGGUGGCCCGUAGGGGCAGAAGGGAAGGACGAGGAGGAGUAGCGGACAUUGAAAUGGUAUGGAGACAAGGCAAGAGCCAUACCCAUAAAACUCAACCUCAACUGUUGCUUUUGACAGUUGAGGUGGGUGAUGAUGCUGCAAGAAAGUGGCAAUCUUGCACAUGAUGUGCACACUCUCG